Molecule: ribosomal RNA, 439 nt
Filed under: Lachnospiraceae bacterium oral taxon 107
Lineage: Bacteria; Bacillati; Bacillota; Clostridia; Lachnospirales; Lachnospiraceae
Description: bacterial SSU rRNA
Rfam family: Bacterial small subunit ribosomal RNA
Source: RNAcentral
GAUGAACGCUGGCGGCGUGCUUAACACAUGCAAGUCGAACGAAGCUGCCCAAAGGAAGUUUUCGGAUGGAAUUUAGGUAACUUAGUGGCGGACGGGUGAGUAACGCGUGGAUAACCUGCCUUAUACAGGGGGAUAACGGAGAGAAAUUUCCGCUAACACCGCAUAAGACCACAGCACCGCAUGGUGCAGGGGUAAAAUAUUUAUAGGUAUAAGAUGGAUCCGCGUCCGAUUAGCUAGUUGGUGAGGUAAAGGCCCACCAAGGCGACGAUCGGUAGCCGGCCUGAGAGGGUGAACGGCCACAUUGGGACUGAGACACGGCCCAAACUCCUACGGGAGGCAGCAGUGGGGAAUAUUGGACAAUGGGGGAAACCCUGAUCCAGCGACGCCGCGUGAGUGAAGAAGUAUUUCGGUUGUAAAGCUCUAUCAGCAGGGAAGAAAA